This 3106-nucleotide ribosomal RNA is filed under the name Microbacterium caowuchunii. RNAcentral describes it as "Microbacterium sp. ST-M6 23S ribosomal RNA". It matches the Rfam family "Bacterial large subunit ribosomal RNA". The record is from RNAcentral. Lineage: Bacteria; Bacillati; Actinomycetota; Actinomycetes; Micrococcales; Microbacteriaceae.
UUCAAGUCUUUAAGAGCAAACGGUGAAUGCCUUGGCAUCUGGAGCCGAAGAAGGACGUAGCAAUCUGCGAUAAGCCUCGGGGAACUGAUAAGCAAGUUUUGAUCCGAGGGUGUCCGAAUGGGGAAACCCCGCUGGGCGGCGUGCCGACCUAGUGACUCCCGCCUGAAUAUAUAGGGCGGGUAGAGGGAACGUGGGGAAGUGAAACAUCUCAGUACCCACAGGAAGAGAAAGCAACCGCGAUUCCGUUAGUAGUGGCGAGCGAAACCGGAACAGGCUAAACCGAGUACGUGUGAUAUCCGGCAGGAGUUGCGUAUUCGGGGUUGUGGGACUUUUCAGACAGUUCUGCCGAUCUGUCGGCGUUACAAGAAGGUAUAGACGAAUGGCUUUGAAUGGCCAGUCAUAGAGGGUGCGAACCCCGUAGUCGAAAUGCCUCUCUUGACGCGAAGAGUAUCCCAAGUAGCACGGGGCCCGAGAAAUCCCGUGUGAAUCUGUCAGGACCACCUGAUAAGCCUAAAUACUCCCAGAUGACCGAUAGCGGACAAGUACCGUGAGGGAAAGGUGAAAAGUACCCCGGGAGGGGAGUGAAAUAGUACCUGAAACCGUUUGCUUACAAACCGUUGGAGCCUCCUUAGUAGGGGUGACAGCGUGCCUUUUGAAGAAUGAGCCUGCGAGUUAGCGAUACGUGGCGAGGUUAACCCGUGAGGGGUAGCCGUAGCGAAAGCGAGUCUGAAUAGGGCGAUUCAGUCGCGUGUCCUAGACCCGAAGCGAAGUGAUCUAUCCAUGGCCAGGUUGAAGCGACGGUAAGACGUCGUGGAGGACCGAACCCACUUAGGUUGAAAACUGAGGGGAUGAGCUGUGGAUAGGGGUGAAAGGCCAAUCAAACUUCGUGAUAGCUGGUUCUCUCCGAAAUGCAUUUAGGUGCAGCGUUGCGUGUUUCUUGCCGGAGGUAGAGCUACUGGAUGGCCGAUGGGCCCUACAAGGUUACUGACGUCAGCCAAACUCCGAAUGCCGGUAAGUGAGAGCGCAGCAGUGAGACUGUGGGGGAUAAGCUUCAUAGUCGAGAGGGAAACAACCCAGACCACCAUCUAAGGUCCCUAAGCGCGUGCUAAGUGGGAAAGGAUGUGGAGUUGCCUUGACAACCAGGAGGUUGGCUUAGAAGCAGCCACCCUUGAAAGAGUGCGUAAUAGCUCACUGGUCAAGUGAUUCCGCGCCGACAAUGUAACGGGGCUCAAGCACGCCACCGAAGCUGUGGCAUUAGCAUUAUAGGUAGGCCUUCGUGGUCCAGCCGUGUUGAUGGGUAGGAGAGCGUCGUGUGGCCAGCGAAGCGGCGGUGUGAACCAGCCGUGGAGGCUACACGAGUGAGAAUGCAGGCAUGAGUAGCGAAAGACGUGUGAGAAACACGUCCUCCGAAAGACCAAGGGUUCCAGGGUCAAGCUAAUCUUCCCUGGGUAAGUCGGGACCUAAGGCGAGGCCGACAGGCGUAGUCGAUGGACAACGGGUUGAUAUUCCCGUACCGGCGAAGAACCGCCCAAGCUAAUCCAGUAGUGCUAAGUGUCUGAAUCCCAGUGACUGAUCCCUUCGGGGUGACGCUCUGGGCCUAGCGCACGAACCCGUUCUGGUGCGGUUAGCGUAUUAACAGGUGUGACGCAGGAAGGUAGCCCAAGCCAGGCGAUGGUUGUCCUGGUGCAAGUGCGUAGGCCGAGUGAUAGGCAAAUCCGUCACUCAUUAAGGCUGAGACACGAUGCGGAUAAAAAGUGGGUGAUCCUAUGCUGCCAAGAAAAGCAUCGACGCGAGGUUCUAGCCGCCCGUACCCCAAACCGACUCAGGUGGUCAGGUAGAGAAUACCAAGGAGAUCGAGAGAAUCGUGGUUAAGGAACUCGGCAAAAUGCCCCCGUAACUUCGGGAGAAGGGGGGCCUUCGACGUAUUAGGACUUGCUCCGAAAGCGUUUGGAGGCCGCAGAGACUAGUGGGUAGCGACUGUUUACUAAAAACACAGGUCCGUGCCAAGUCGCAAGACGAUGUAUACGGACUGACGCCUGCCCGGUGCUGGAAGGUUAAGAGGAGAGGUUAGCUUCGGCGAAGCUUUGAAUUUAAGCCCCAGUAAACGGCGGUGGUAACUAUAACCAUCCUAAGGUAGCGAAAUUCCUUGUCGGGUAAGUUCCGACCUGCACGAAUGGCGUAACGACUUCCCAACUGUCUCAACCGCGAACUCGGCGAAAUUGCAUUACGAGUAAAGAUGCUCGUUACGCGCAGCAGGACGGAAAGACCCCGUGACCUUUACUAUAGCUUUGUAUUGGUGUUCGGUGUGGCUUGUGUAGGAUAGGUGGGAGACUUUGAAGCUUGGACGCUAGUUCAGGUGGAGUCGUUGUUGAAAUACCACUCUGGUCACUCUGGAUAUCUAACUUCGAACCGUAAUCCGGUUCAGGGACAGUGCAUGGUGGGUAGUUUAACUGGGGCGGUUGCCUCCCAAAAAGUAACGGAGGCGCCCAAAGGUUCCCUCAACCUGGUUGGCAAUCAGGUGGCGAGUGUAAGUGCACAAGGGAGCUUGACUGUGAGACUGACAGGUCGAGCAGGGACGAAAGUCGGGACUAGUGAUCCGGCAGUGGCUUGUGGAAGCGCUGUCGCUCAACGGAUAAAAGGUACCUCGGGGAUAACAGGCUGAUCUUGCCCAAGAGUCCAUAUCGACGGCAUGGUUUGGCACCUCGAUGUCGGCUCGUCGCAUCCUGGGGCUGGAGUAGGUCCCAAGGGUUGGGCUGUUCGCCCAUUAAAGCGGUACGCGAGCUGGGUUUAGAACGUCGUGAGACAGUUCGGUCCCUAUCCGCUGCGCGCGUAGGAAGUUUGAGAGGAUCUGACCCUAGUACGAGAGGACCGGGUUGGACGAACCUCUGGUGUGUCAGUUGUUCCGCCAGGAGCACCGCUGAUUAGCUACGUUCGGGAUGGAUAACCGCUGAAAGCAUCUAAGCGGGAAGCCGGCCUCAAGAUGAGACUUCCAUGCCUUCGGGCGAGAGGCUCCCAGCCAGACUACUGGGUUGAUAGGCCAGAUGUGGAAGCACGGUAACGUGUGCAGCUGACUGGUACUAAUAAGCCGAUGACUUGAUAACACACC